This 327-nucleotide ribosomal RNA is filed under the name uncultured eukaryote. RNAcentral describes it as "partial 18S ribosomal RNA". It matches the Rfam family "Eukaryotic small subunit ribosomal RNA", at positions 1470 to 1796 of the family's 1831-position model. The record is from RNAcentral.
CCCUUAGAUGUUCUGGGCCGCACACGCGCUACACUGAAGGAGGCAGCGUGUACUCCGGGAUCGAAAGAUUUGGGUAACCCGCGAAUCUCCUUCGUGCUAGGGAUUGAGGUUUGCAAUUAUCCUUCAUGAACGAGGAAUUCCCAGUAUGUGCAAGUCAUAAGCUUGCGCUGACUACGUCCCCGCCCUUUGUACACACCGCCCGUCGCUACUACCGAUUGAAUGAUUUAGUGAGGACUUCGGACUGGGACCGAUGCGGCUUUCGGGCUGCGUCGGUAUUCUGGAAAGAUGUCCAAACUGUAUCAUUUAGAGGAAGUAAAAGUCGUAACA